This is a long non-coding RNA of Parus major (Great Tit), 1199 nucleotides long. RefSeq lists it as uncharacterized. The transcript has 3 exons. The record is from RefSeq and is a predicted model, not a curated record. NCBI's taxonomy places the organism in Eukaryota, Metazoa, Chordata, Aves, Passeriformes, Paridae.
CGUGAGGGGCCGUGCGGGACGGCUGCUCCGGCCGGGCCUCCCGCUCCGCUGUGCUCCGCCCCCGCGCAGCCCCGGCACAGGGGCGCCGGCCAGCAUCCCCCUGCAUCUCUUCAGCUUUGGCAGAGCCGCGUGUCUUCCCGCUGUCUCAACCCGAAAUAUGCGGCCGUCCUGCCUUCUCCCUCGGUCUCCUUCUUAGGAAUGUGCGCAGCAAAAAGCCAGUCUCCCGGGACUGUUCCCCCUUUUUGGUCUUUGCUGGGACAACCAGCCGUGGGGGGACGCUUUCCCCGGCUCUGCGGCCAAAGGCAGGCGGCCACCCGGCAGCCCGACCUCCUUGAGCGCUGCUGAGAGGGGCCUGGUGUCCUGAGCCAGUCAGCACCUGUGAAACCUCGAGGUCCAUGGUUCUUUGGUAUGUUGUUAUUCCCUGAAAGCCUUGAUAGGCUGAGCAGGAUGAUCCACAGUAACACUGCAGAGAAGAUCCCAUUCUCACAGAAGAAAAUGGUCCCCACAGGAGAAUGAAGAGGAAGCAGAGGGACAACAUCUAGACUUAACAAGCUCUGAGACAUCACUGUGUUUUCUGUGUUAAAAUAAAAGGAUCUAGGAAUUUCUAUUUAUGGUGAAUUAAGUGGGGUACUCUCCUUGGUAAUGAUGUUAAAAGGGCAGAGACUGGUCUUAAUUCUAAAUAAUAGGCACUGUGUCUAGAAUGUACAUCUAACUAUCUUACUGUGUUUACAUACUUCUACUCACCAUGGUUUUCCGAUCACUGUUAGCCAAGAACUCAAAAAAGCAAAACUCAUCUUGCUGAAUCACCACUGACUUUAAUUAGAAAUUAAAUUAAUUAAUUAAUACAUUAGAAAGGAAACUGUCCUACACCGUGACUAUACAGCAAAUAGCUCUAAAAGACUAAGCACAAGUGUAACCAGUUUUAAUUCUCACUGACCACAAGGGUUUCCAAUCAUUCCAUACACCUCACCUAUUAAGGGGACCCCAAGUUCAUAGAAAACCACCUCAGUGCUGAGAAUCUCUGUCAACAAUGUUUUCCAUGCUGACAGUGAUGCCUUGGGAGGCUGCCUAGAACAGAAGCUAGACAGAGUUAAAGGAAUAAAGCAGGUAUUUAUUCAAAAGGCCUUCACAGGAUACGCCUUGGGCAGUGCAGGAGCCCGGCUGUGGCUACACCCAAGAUGGACGACCUGUCAUGAGUU